RNAcentral lists this ribosomal RNA (517 nucleotides) under uncultured bacterium. RNAcentral describes it as "partial 16S ribosomal RNA". It matches the Rfam family "Bacterial small subunit ribosomal RNA", at positions 28 to 523 of the family's 1533-position model. The record is from RNAcentral.
GACGAACGCUGGCGGCGUGCCUAAUACAUGCAAGUCGAGCGGACCGAACGAGGGCUUGCUCUUGUUUGGUCAGCGGCGGACGGGUGAGUAACACGUGGGCAACCUGCCCGCAAGACCGGGAUAACUCCGGGAAACCGGAGCUAAUACCGGAUAACACCGAAGACCGCAUGGUCUUCGGUUGAAAGGCGGCCUUUGGGCUGUCACUUGCGGAUGGGCCCGCGGCGCAUUAGCUAGUUGGUGAGGUAACGGCUCACCAAGGCGACGAUGCGUAGCCGGCCUGAGAGGGUGACCGGCCACACUGGGACUGAGACACGGCCCAGACUCCUACGGGAGGCAGCAGUAGGGAAUCUUCCGCAAUGGGCGAAAGCCUGACGGAGCGACGCCGCGUGAGCGAAGAAGGCCUUCGGGUCGUAAAGCUCUGUUGUGAGGGACGAAGGAGCGCCGUUCGAAGAGGGCGGCGCGGUGACGGUACCUCACGAGAAAGCCCCGGCUAACUACGUGCCAGCCGCCGCGGUAA